AAAAAAUGUGACCACUAAUUAGAAUUUCCUGCAUGCAGGAUUUGUACGAAUUAAAGUAAGAUUUUUAAUUUUAUAAAAUAAAUGGAAGCUCAUCCCCAAACCAACACAUAGUGUCUCGGCCAGGAUUUCAACCCACGUCAUGAAAAUAAAACCGAAUGCCGUUACCACCACGCCACACAAUAACUCUUUGAAAUGUUGACAAAAACAAUAUUAACACCAAAUUGAGCAACUGCUUUUAUCGCUUGAUUAGUUGACAUCAUGGCGGGAUGUUCGAGGAACUUUAAAAAUGAAUCCUGUUAGCUAUUGCAUUCGGAGCGUAUCUUGUAAAUCUCAAGAGAUCGAUUGCAACUCUCCAAUAAUGUUGAAAAUAUAAUUGGUUCACUUCACCCCGAUCCCAUUCUCCAACAAUACUUCCGCGUGUGUUUUAUUCCGUGCAUGUGUACAGUGAAGAAAAUGAAAUAUCCCAACAACAAAACAUGGAGAUAAAAAUCUGGAAAAAAGUUACUCUACGGUUUUGAUAAUUAUUUCAUGACAAUUAAUAGUUUCAUGCCAUAUGCUCUAUCUUUAAGGACAGAAACCUUCAAAAGUAGAUUCUAUGUUAAAUAUACAGUAUUUUAUUGCCACCAAGUGCAAAAAAAUACCGUACUUAGAUGAAAGGUUUGGUUUGGAGUAAGAUACAAUUUUAAAGUAGGAUUUAUUGAUCUUCUGUGACUUCUGUACAGUAUUGUAUUCAGCGUGAUUGACCGUGUUUUGUAUUAACUGUGGUCAGAUAUACAAACACGAGCCGAAGGCAAGUGAUUAUAAAUCUCCGGUACAACACAGAAAUGCGAAAUAAAAGGAUCGCGGUUUUAUAUAAAAAAAACAUUGAAUGUUCUUCAUGUGUUUGUUGGUGAGUUUUAUAACGAGUGAAUGCAUUUUUCCAGAGCACAGGACAAUUGGGCUCUUUAGAGAUAGAGAUAUACAGACUUUAUACUACGCGAAAUAAUGUGGUUGCUUGGCUGCCAACAUAUCCCGCUCCUUUUGGUGCUAAAAAAUUAUGUUCUCCAAUCAUUUUGCCUUUCAACUUUCUUCGUUGGAAAAUCCUUGUUGAAUCUUAGACAAUCUUGCAAGACAGGCUCUCUACCUCGUUUGCGAGGGGGAGUGGAAAGAAAGGGCCUUGAUUGUGAGAUUGUAUCUUACCUGGAGGCUUUUUCUAUUUUUAGAGACUUUCGUCCCGCACCUGUACUUAAUCUGAUUUUAAUCUGAUUUUGGUUUCGUAAUUACAGGAACCCACGGAGGGGAUGGGGCAGGUACCAAAACAACGUCCUGGUCGAAAGAAGACAGAAAAAGCAUCGCAUAAUUCGUCGAGCAAUUCACAAAAAUUUUCAAUUCAGACAUCACCAAUGGAUAGUCAGGAUAGCGUGUUUUUAUAACAUAAAUUGCAAUGAAAGCAAUAAUUUACUAUAUAGUUUGUAGGUAUUUUAAGCACAAGGGGUUUGCCUAGGUAUUGGCCGUAAACUUGAACACAUGUAUGAAUGUACGCGUAUAUUUCAAUAUUGAUGUCUACUCAUUAUGCACUAAUACAAACUCAACAUUAAACAGAGCUUUCGCUCGUAAGAUGUUGGUAAGGUUGGGCCCACAGUGCAUGGUUUAUACGAAUGAUUAAAACUGUCAUGAAUACGUUUGUGAGGUACGUAACCAUUUUUACAAAUAACUGAGUGAAAGCACACAGCUUAUCCUAAACGCGCAAAGUGAGCACUGUCACAAGUUAAAAGAAUACUGUCAAGGGUUGCAAUUUGCACUGAAUGAUAUAAAUGUCGCCACUGCACUUUUAAUUGAAAUACUAUCAAUGAUAGUGGCAAUAAUUAAUUGUAUUAAUUAACAUUUCGAUCGUAGAUAUAUUCUUGUUGAAUAUAGGUACAAUUCCUCCUGUGUAGAGCAGUUACAGUAAAUAAGGUGAAUAUAUUUUCAAUAAAAAUUAAUUAUCUGGGAUAUAUCGUCAUCAGUUAAUUAUUUGGGUUCCGGGUACAAUUUAAUUGAAUUUAUUUAAAACUAAUAAGGUACUGUAUGAAUAUCGUAACCAAAUGUUGUCAAGUAGUUAUACAUGCAAACCAAAGCAAAAUGCGUAGCUUUCAGGAUAGGAGGAAGUAGCCUCCAUUCUUUUUUCGAGAAGUUCGGCAUGUGAUCUUUGCUUUUUCAAAAUCUUCAGACUACAAUCUUUGACAGUAUACAUUGGGACAAUCUUUAGUUUCCAUACGACAAUCUACCAUUUCUUGAUACAUUUUUACCACCCUCCCUUCCCCCACCCGUUUCAAUCUUAGCG
Non-coding RNA from Paramuricea clavata, 2302 nucleotides. The record is from the annotation of a GenBank genome assembly. NCBI's taxonomy places the organism in Eukaryota, Metazoa, Cnidaria, Anthozoa, Malacalcyonacea, Plexauridae.